UAGGGAAUCUUCCGCAAUGGGCGAAAGCCUGACGGAGCAACGCCGCGUGAGUGAUGAAGGUCUUCGGAUCGUAAAACUCUGUUAUUAGGGAAGAACAAAUGUGUUAGUAACUAUGCACGUCUUGACGGUACCUAAUCAGAAAGCCACGGCUAACUACGUGCCAGCAGCCGCGGUAAUACGUAGGUGGCAAGCGUUAUCCGGUAUUAUUGGGCGUAAAGCGCGCGUAGGCGGUUUUUUAAGUCUGAUGUGAAAGCCCACGGCUCAACCGUGGAGGGUCAUUGGAAGCUGGAAAACUUGAGUGGAGAAGAGGAAAGUGGAAUUCCAUGUGUAGAGGUGAAAUCCGCAGAGAUAUGGAGGAACUCCAGUGGCGAAGGCGACUUUCUGGUCUGUAACUGACGCUGAUGUGCGAAAGCGUGGGGAUCAAACAGG
This 429-nucleotide ribosomal RNA is filed under the name Actinomycetes bacterium. RNAcentral describes it as "Actinobacteria bacterium partial 16S ribosomal RNA". It matches the Rfam family "Bacterial small subunit ribosomal RNA", at positions 355 to 776 of the family's 1533-position model. The record is from RNAcentral. Lineage: Bacteria; Bacillati; Actinomycetota; Actinomycetes.